RNAcentral lists this ribosomal RNA (253 nucleotides) under uncultured bacterium. Its description in RNAcentral is "partial 16S ribosomal RNA". It matches the Rfam family "Bacterial small subunit ribosomal RNA", at positions 524 to 776 of the family's 1533-position model. The record is from RNAcentral.
UACGGAGGGAGCUAGCGUUGUUCGGAAUUACUGGGCGUAAAGCGCACGUAGGCGGCGAUUUAAGUCAGGGGUGAAAGCCCAGUGCUCAACACUGGAACUGCCCUUGAGACUGGAUUGCUUGAAUCACGGAGAGGUGGGUGGAAUUCCGAGUGUAGAGGUGAAAUUCGUAGAUAUUCGGAAGAACACCAGUGGCGAAGGCGGCCCACUGGACGUGUAUUGACGCUGAGGUGCGAAAGCGUGGGGAGCAAACAGG